RNAcentral lists this long non-coding RNA (959 nucleotides) under Lepeophtheirus salmonis (salmon louse). RNAcentral describes it as "uncharacterized LOC121127383". The record is from RNAcentral. Lineage: Eukaryota; Metazoa; Arthropoda; Copepoda; Siphonostomatoida; Caligidae.
GGCAGACUAGUUCGAUGUUAGAUGACUCAGUUGACGUAGUGUCACAGCAGUGACGUCACUACGUUGGAUCUGUUAAGUAAAAAUGACAUCAUUUCGAGGUUCAAAGCGUGUUUGUGCCUUGUCAUGUUGUUCCAAUCCACGGGUUGCCCAGUAUUUUGUAUUUUUGAUGCUCCAGCGUCUUUGGAUCUCAGUCUACAGGAGAAAAGAUCCAAUUAAUAUUAAGAAUGUCAAGAUUUGUGAUAGGCAUUUUACAUCCAAUGAUUAUGAGCAAAAUUUCCAGGCUGAGCUUACUAAAGUUAGUAAAUAAAUCAAUAACGAGUCAUUUUUUUUCGUCAAAUAUACAAGAAAAUGAGCAUGAUGAAGAGGCAAUUGAAUCAUAGGAACCUUAGAAGAUUCUGGACUUCUUAAAGCCGAAAAAAUAAUGACAGCAGAUACAGAAGAAUCUUCUCAAGUUUCCAAUGAUUGUUCAGAUCAGAGUCAGGAUUAUAUUGCAGGCUGUUUGGCAAAAAAAAAAAAAAAAAAGAUCUUUAUCCAAAUCUAGGGAAAAAUACAUGUGACUUCGGAUUUUAUGAAGAAACGUCUAGCCCUUGGAUUGAAUUGGUAUCUAAUGGAAGCCUUACGAUCCCCUCGUCCACGAAGACGCAAUUAACAAAAACCCAAACGUAUUUGAAAGGCUGUAUGAUCAUCUAAUUGAAUUAUAUUCUAACUUGCUUAAAGAAGUCAUCAUAUCCUUUGUGAAAACAAGAACAAGAAUUAGAGUAAAUAACCUUAAUAAAAAGCUCAGACUGAAGAACGCGAGAGAAACUUGGAGAGAUUGGCCAAUUUACAAAUUAAUAUCCAUUUAAUCAUGUUUGUAUGUAAAAAAAAUAUGUAUUCUAUAGUUUUUACUUAUUGCUAUUCUUUUAUCCACCACUCUUAAAUUAUGUAAUAAAAUGGUAAAGGAUAUUACUAUAAGUUUA